RNAcentral lists this ribosomal RNA (223 nucleotides) under uncultured bacterium. RNAcentral describes it as "partial 16S ribosomal RNA". It matches the Rfam family "Bacterial small subunit ribosomal RNA", at positions 113 to 334 of the family's 1533-position model. The record is from RNAcentral.
CGACGUGAGCAAUCUGCCUUUAAGAGGGGGAUAACAGUCGGAAACGGCUGCUAAUACCGCAUAAAGCAUCAAAUUCGCAUGUUUUUGAUGCCAAAGGAGCAAUCCGCUUUUAGAUGAGCUCGCGUCUGAUUAGCUGGUUGGCGGGGUAACGGCCCACCAAGGCGACGAUCAGUAGCCGGACUGAGAGGUUGGACGGCCACAUUGGGACUGAGACACGGCCCAG